GACGACGCUGGCGGCGUGCUUAACACAUGCAAGUCGAACGGUGACGAGGAGCUUGCUCCUCUGAUCAGUGGCGAACGGGUGAGUAACACGUGAGUAACCUGCCCCAGACUCUGGAAUAACAGUUGGAAACAGCUGCUAAUACCGGAUACGAGACGGAGAGGCAUCUCUACCGUCUGGAAAGUUUUUCGGUCUGGGAUGGACUCGCGGCCUAUCAGCUUGUUGGUGAGGUAAUGGCUCACCAAGGCGACGACGGGUAGCCGGCCUGAGAGGGCGACCGGCCACACUGGGACUGAGACACGGCCCAGACUCCUACGGGAGGCAGCAGUGGGGAAUAUUGCACAAUGGGCGAAAGCCUGAUGCAGCAACGCCGCGUGAGGGAUGACGGCCUUCGGGUUGUAAACCUCUUUCAGUAGGGAAGAAGCGAAAGUGACGGUACCUACAGAAGAAGCACCGGCUAACUACGUG
This 465-nucleotide ribosomal RNA is filed under the name uncultured bacterium. Its description in RNAcentral is "bacterial SSU rRNA". It matches the Rfam family "Bacterial small subunit ribosomal RNA", at positions 33 to 507 of the family's 1533-position model. The record is from RNAcentral.